This 241-nucleotide long non-coding RNA is filed under the name Panax ginseng (ginseng). RNAcentral's name for it is "long non-coding RNA (PGIN_LNC017966)". The record is from RNAcentral. Lineage: Eukaryota; Viridiplantae; Streptophyta; Magnoliopsida; Apiales; Araliaceae.
UGAAAUGAAGAAGUUUACAGAUAAAUCCCUUACAAAGGUUUUUCAUGGAAGACUCUUGAGCAUUGUGCUGAAGAAGAAAUUAGGAAGCAAGAUCAAAGAUGAUGAGGGAGAGCCACUAAACGUCCAUAAAGUCAUGUCUCCACAGCUGUUUGUAAACUGGAAGAAAAAUCCCAAGGAAAACAGGAGGCUUAUGACAACUGGGAGCAACAUCAAGGUCUCUGCAAAGAAGAGGAAGGCACAA